This is a non-coding RNA of Sturnus vulgaris (Common starling), 477 nucleotides long. NCBI's taxonomy places the organism in Eukaryota, Metazoa, Chordata, Aves, Passeriformes, Sturnidae. The record is from RefSeq and is a predicted model, not a curated record.
GCUGUCAGACACCGCCCGCUCGGGGCAGGGGUUCCGGGAUGCUUCGCUCGCAGCUGUUUUCUCUCCUGUGCCAUUCCAGCCCAGCCCAGCCGGCGGCACCGGGCACUUCGUGUAAGGAGGCACAAAAGGGGUCCAAACGCGUUGUGUUCAGAGGGACACCAUAUUUUAAGGUGCACACUCCAAUUGCUAUCAAUCCAUUACCGUCCCUGUGACGUUGAAUGCUGAAUUUGUCACCUGCUGUCCGACACUCGGCAUGAGUCAGGGAGACAAAAUGGGGAGGUUUGGAAGCAAAUCCAUUUUGGUCAUGACGUUAAUCUGUGGAAUCUCCAAAGAUAUCAUCGCACUGAGAGCUGCCAGGAUUCCAGAAAUAAACUUAAAGAGGAUGAAAAAUGAUGUAUUAAAGUACAGAAAAACACAACACAAUCACACAGGACACUCAACCACAGGCCAAAUCUGGUAAUGAAUAUAUGGAACAUG